UCGAGAAUUUUUCACAAUGGGCGAAAGCCUGAUGGAGCGACGCCGCGUGGGGAUGAAUGGCUUCGGCCCGUAAACCCCUGUCAUUCGCGAGCAAUGCCUUCCCGAUAAUACCGGGACGGUUGAUCGUAGCGAAAGAGGAAGGGACGGCUAACUCUGUGCCAGCAGCCGCGGUAAUACAGAGGUCCCAAGCGUUGUUCGGAUUCACUGGGCGUAAAGGGUGCGUAGGUGGUGAGGUAAGUUCGAUGUGAAAUCUCCGGGCUCAACCCGGAAAAGGCAUUGAAUACUAUCUUGCUCGAGGUUUGGAGGGGGGACUGGAAUUCUCGGUGUAGCAGUGAAAUGCGUAGAUAUCGAGAGGAACACCGGUGGCGAAGGCGAGUCCCUGGACAACACCUGACACUGAGGCACGAAAGCUAGGGGAGCAAACAG
Molecule: ribosomal RNA, 426 nt
Filed under: uncultured bacterium
Lineage: Bacteria
Description: bacterial SSU rRNA
Rfam family: Bacterial small subunit ribosomal RNA
Source: RNAcentral